ACGGGUGCGGAACACGUGUGCAACCUGCCUUUAUCUGGGGGAUAGCCUUUCGAAAGGAAGAUUAAUACCCCAUAAUAUACUGAAUGGCAUCAUUCGGUAUUGAAAACUCCGGUGGAUAGAGAUGGGCACGCGCAAGAUUAGAUAGUUGGUGAGGUAACGGCUCACCAAGUCUACGAUCUUUAGGGGGCCUGAGAGGGUGAUCCCCCACACUGGUACUGAGACACGGACCGGACUCCUACGGGAGGCAGCAGUGAGGAAUAUUGGACAAUGGGUGAGAGCCUGAUCCAGCCAUCCCGCGUGAAGGACGACGGCCCUAUGGGUUGUAAACUUCUUUUGUAUAGGGAUAAACCUACCCUCGUGAGGGUAGCUGAAGGUACUAUACGAAUAAGCACCGGCUAACUCCGUGCCAGCAGCCGCGGUAAUACGGAGGGUGCAAGCGUUAUCCGGAUUUAUUGGGUUUAAAGGGUCCGUAGGCGGAUCUGUAAGUCAGUGGUGAAAUCUCACAGCUUAACUGUGAAACUGCCAUUGAUACUGCAGGUCUUGAGUGUUGUUGAAGUAGCUGGAAUAAGUAGUGUAGCGGUGAAAUGCA
Molecule: ribosomal RNA, 589 nt
Filed under: uncultured bacterium
Lineage: Bacteria
Description: bacterial SSU rRNA
Rfam family: Bacterial small subunit ribosomal RNA
Source: RNAcentral